This 100-nucleotide ribosomal RNA is filed under the name Arabidopsis thaliana (thale cress). The record is from RNAcentral. Lineage: Eukaryota; Viridiplantae; Streptophyta; Magnoliopsida; Brassicales; Brassicaceae.
UUAAGACUAGAUGGGUAUCCCUACAUAGCGGGUGGGACCCACGGCGAAUGGUUCAUCAAGUCUUCAAAAAAGAAUAUAUACGAUUGCAUUGCAAAUACUA